This 140-nucleotide non-coding RNA is filed under the name Streptomyces sp. Its description in RNAcentral is "SAM-I sequence". It matches the Rfam family "SAM riboswitch aptamer (S box leader)". From Rfam's summary of the family: The SAM riboswitch is found upstream of a number of genes which code for proteins involved in methionine or cysteine biosynthesis in Gram-positive bacteria. The record is from RNAcentral. Lineage: Bacteria; Bacillati; Actinomycetota; Actinomycetes; Kitasatosporales; Streptomycetaceae. RNAcentral also lists the same sequence under 1 other name.
AGCUCAUCCAGAGGGGCAGAGGGAACGGCCCGUUGAAGCCCCGGCAACCCUCCGUCCGGUACUCGCGACGCUGCGAGGCCCCGGACGGUGAUGGUGCCAAUUCCGUCCUGCGGCGAGAUGCGUCGCGGGGAAGAUGAGGA